CCCCUAGAUGUUCUGGGCCGCACGCGCGCUACACUGACCAGUGCAACAAGCAUCCGUCCUUGGCCGACAGGCUCGGGCAAUCUUUGAACGCUGUUCGUGAUUGGGAUAGACCUUUGCAAUUAUGGGUCUUCAACGAGGAAUUCCUAGUAAACGCAAGUCAUCAGCUUGCAUUGAUUACGUCCCUGCCCUUUGUACACACCGCCCGUCGCACCUACCGAUUGAAUGGUCCGGUGAAAUCUCGGGACGGCGGCUUGGUCGCUUGCGUCCGACUGCUGAAACUUGAUUAAACCAUAUCAUUUAGAGGAAGGUGAAGUCGUAACA
Molecule: ribosomal RNA, 321 nt
Filed under: uncultured eukaryote
Lineage: Eukaryota
Description: partial 18S ribosomal RNA
Rfam family: Eukaryotic small subunit ribosomal RNA
Source: RNAcentral